RNAcentral lists this ribosomal RNA (220 nucleotides) under Enterobacter cloacae. RNAcentral's name for it is "partial 16S ribosomal RNA". It matches the Rfam family "Bacterial small subunit ribosomal RNA", at positions 1 to 219 of the family's 1533-position model. The record is from RNAcentral. RNAcentral also lists the same sequence under 1 other name. Lineage: Bacteria; Pseudomonadati; Pseudomonadota; Gammaproteobacteria; Enterobacterales; Enterobacteriaceae.
AAAUUGAAGAGUUUGAUCAUGGCUCAGAUUGAACGCUGGCGGCAGGCCUAACACAUGCAAGUCGAACGGUAGCACAGAGAGCUUGCUCUCGGGUGACGAGUGGCGGACGGGUGAGUAAUGUCUGGGAAACUGCCUGAUGGAGGGGGAUAACUACUGGAAACGGUAGCUAAUACCGCAUAACGUCGCAAGACCAAAGAGGGGGACCUUCGGGCCUCUUGCC